This 254-nucleotide ribosomal RNA is filed under the name uncultured bacterium. Its description in RNAcentral is "partial 16S ribosomal RNA". It matches the Rfam family "Bacterial small subunit ribosomal RNA", at positions 524 to 776 of the family's 1533-position model. The record is from RNAcentral.
UACGGGGGGAGCAAGCGUUGUUCGGAUUUACAGGGCGUAAAGGGCGCGUAGGCGGCCAGCGCAAGUCAGUUGUGAAAUCUCCGGGCUUAACUCGGAACGGUCAACUGAUACUGCGCGGCUAGAGUGCAGAAGGGGCAACUGGAAUUCUCGGUGUAGCGGUGAAAUGCGUAGAUAUCGAGAGGAACACCUGCGGCGAAGGCGGGUUGCUGGGCUGACACUGACGCUGAUGCGCGAAAGCCAGGGGAGCGAACGGG